RNAcentral lists this long non-coding RNA (205 nucleotides) under Theobroma cacao (cacao). Its description in RNAcentral is "long non-coding RNA (TCAC_LNC001185)". Lineage: Eukaryota; Viridiplantae; Streptophyta; Magnoliopsida; Malvales; Malvaceae. The record is from RNAcentral.
CCAAAUCUAGUUGUUGGAACGCCAUAAUGGCAACUUUCGUGGCUAGAUCCAGCAAUUGGCUCCUUAUUUUGAUGUUUUUUAGGGCUUAAGUGGCCAUUGACGAGAAAAGACAAUGUUAGUGACCAAAUUUUGUUGCUGGAGUCCUAAUCGGUGCUAACAACGAUCGAUUUUGACAAUGAUACUGAGCACCGGAGUCGGAGUGGCG